AUAAGAAAGCAAUGCUCAAA
RNAcentral lists this microRNA (20 nucleotides) under Glycine max (soybean). RNAcentral describes it as "gma-miR171i-5p". Its record names the gene gma-miR171i-5p. Lineage: Eukaryota; Viridiplantae; Streptophyta; Magnoliopsida; Fabales; Fabaceae. The record is from miRBase by way of RNAcentral.